RNAcentral lists this ribosomal RNA (492 nucleotides) under uncultured bacterium. RNAcentral describes it as "partial 16S ribosomal RNA". It matches the Rfam family "Bacterial small subunit ribosomal RNA", at positions 29 to 507 of the family's 1533-position model. The record is from RNAcentral.
AGUGAACGCUGGCGGUAGGCCUAACACAUGCAAGUCGAACGGACGCACAGUAAGAUCUUGCUCUUACCGGUGGCGGGUGGCGGACGGGCGAGGAAUACAUCGGAUACCUAUAUUUCUUGGGGGAUAACGUAGGGCAACUUCCGAUAAUACCUAAUAUGUCCUACGGGUUGAUGCAGGGGAGCUUCGGACCUUGCCUGAUUCUAUGAGCUGAAGGCGGGUUAGCUAGUUGGGGUGGUAAAGGCCCACCAAGGCGACGAUCCGUAGCUGGUCUGAGAGGAUGAUCAGCCACACUGGAACUGAGACACGGUCCAGACUCCUACGGGAGGCAGCAGUGGGGAAUAUUGGACAAAGGGCGCAAGCCUGAUCCAGCCAUACCGCGUGAGUGAAGAAGGCCUUCGGGUUGUAAAGCCCUUUUGUUGGGAAAGAAAAGAAGCGGGAUAAUACCCCGCUGUUCUGACGGUACCCAAAGAAUAAGCACCGGCUAACUUCGUG